AUGCAGAUCCGGGAUGGCCUGCGGCGGCAAGCGCCAUCGGCCACUGGGGCGAUGCGGUCGCCGAUGUCGGCGAUGAUGCUCGCCAUGUUCGCCACCAUGGCAUCCUUCUACGUCGCUGGCCGAUUGUGGCAGGAUGCACAGAAUCGGGUUUACCUGAUAAAAGAGCUCGACAGGCGAACCGGCCAGGGGCGAUCGGCAAUAUCAGUGGACGAUACUUUGAAGGUUGUUUCAUGCAGGCAGCAAGGCAAGCGGUUGGCAUCACUCGAGAUGGAGUUGGCUGCAGCAAAGCAUGAAGGAUUUGUUGGCAAAUAUACCUCUGAGACAAAUGCGACUCAUUCUAGGAAGAAGCCUCUGGUUGUUAUUGGGAUAAUGACAAGCUUUGGUAGAAAAAAUUACCGUGAAGCUGUCAGGAAAUCAUGGCUUCCGACAGGUUCACUGCUGAAGAAACUAGAAGAUGAGAAAGGCAUUGUAGUACGUUUCAUAGUUGGAAGAAGUGCAAAUCGAGGAGAUCGUUUUGACAGGGAAAUCGAUGACGAGAAUAGAAGUACAAAUGAUUUUGUGAUCUUGGAUGAUCACAUAGAGUCUGAUGAAGAGCUCCCUAAGAAGACAAAACGUUACUUUGCUAAUGCUGCAGAGACAUUUGAUGCUGAAUUUUAUGCUAAGGUCAAUGAUGAUAUAUACAUAAAUGUUGACACUCUGAGUGCAAUGCUUGAAACUCACUGGGACAAGCCUCGUGUCUACAUAGGCUGUAUGAAAUCUGGGGAGGUCUUUUCUGAAGCGACCCAUAAGUGGUAUGAACCGGAUUGGUGGAAAUUUGGUGACGGGAAAUCAUACUUUCGACAUGCUUCUGGUGAAAUGUUUGUCGUAUCAAGGGCCGUGGCUCAGUUCAUUUCUAUAAACAGGUCUGUUCUCCGGACAUAUGCACAUGAUGAUGUUAGUGUUGGAUCGUGGAUGAUUGGGCUUGCUGUAAAGCAUGUAAAUGAAGCAAAGCUAUGUUGUUCAUCAUGGCCCUCAGGAGCCAUGUGUUCAGCUCUUUGA
Molecule: ribosomal RNA, 1038 nt
Filed under: Triticum aestivum (bread wheat)
Lineage: Eukaryota; Viridiplantae; Streptophyta; Magnoliopsida; Poales; Poaceae
Description: partial small subunit ribosomal RNA
Source: RNAcentral